RNAcentral lists this transfer-messenger RNA (363 nucleotides) under Salmonella enterica subsp. enterica serovar Typhimurium. It matches the Rfam family "transfer-messenger RNA". Rfam says of the family: Bacterial tmRNA, also known as 10Sa RNA or SsrA, is named for its dual tRNA and mRNA-like properties. Its role is to liberate the mRNA from a stalled ribosome. To accomplish this part of the tmRNA is used as a reading frame that ends in a translation stop signal. Lineage: Bacteria; Pseudomonadati; Pseudomonadota; Gammaproteobacteria; Enterobacterales; Enterobacteriaceae. The record is from RNAcentral.
GGGGCUGAUUCUGGAUUCGACGGGAUUUGCAAAACCCAAGGUGCAUGCCGAGGGGCGGUUGGCCUCGUAAAAAGCCGCAAAAAAAUAGUCGCAAACGACGAAACCUACGCUUUAGCAGCUUAAUAACCUGCUUAGAGCCCUCUCUCCCUAGCCUCCGCUCUUAGGACGGGGAUCAAGAGAGGUCAAACCCAAAAGAGAUCGCGCGGAUGCCCUGCCUGGGGUUGAAGCGUUAAAACGAAUCAGGCUAGUCUGGUAGUGGCGUGUCCGUCCGCAGGUGCCAGGCGAAUGUAAAGACUGACUAAGCAUGUAGUACCGAGGAUGUAGGAAUUUCGGACGCGGGUUCAACUCCCGCCAGCUCCACCA